Molecule: ribosomal RNA, 253 nt
Filed under: uncultured bacterium
Lineage: Bacteria
Description: partial 16S ribosomal RNA
Rfam family: Bacterial small subunit ribosomal RNA
Source: RNAcentral
UACAGAGGGUGCGAGCGUUGUCCGGAAUCACUGGGCGUAAAGGGCGCGUAGGUGGCUAGCUAAGCGUGUGGUGAAAGCCCGGGGCUCAACCCCGGGUCUGCCGUGCGGACUGGCUGGCUUGAGCAUAGUAGAGGCGAGUGGAAUUCCGGGUGUAGCGGUGGAAUGCGUAGAUAUCCGGAAGAACACCGGUGGCGAAGGCGGCUCGCUGGGCUAUUGCUGACACUGAUGCGCGACAGCGUGGGGAGCAAACAGG